UCCUCCCUCUUUCUUCGUGCUUAACACAUGCAAGUCGAACGGAAAGGCCCUGCUAUUGUGGGGUGCUCGAGUGGCGAACGGGUGAGUAACACGUGAGUAACCUGCCCUUGACUUUGGGAUAACUUCAGGAAACUGGGGCUAAUACCGGAUAGGAGAUCCUGCUGCAUGGUGGGGGUUGGAAAGUUUCGGCGGUUGGGGAUGGACUCGCGGCUUAUCAGCUUGUUGGUGGGGUAGUGGCUUACCAAGGCUUUGCCGGGUAGCCGGCCUGAGAGGGUGACCGGCCACAUUGGGACUGAGAUACGGCCCAGACUCCUACGGGAGGCAGCAGUGGGGAAUAUUGCACAAUGGGCGGAAGCCUGAUGCAGCAACGCCGCGUGCGUGAUGACGGCCUUCGGGUUGUAAACCGCUUUCGCCUGUGACGAAGCGUGAGUGACGGUAAUGGGUAAAGAAGCACCGGCUAACUACGUG
RNAcentral lists this ribosomal RNA (468 nucleotides) under uncultured bacterium. Its description in RNAcentral is "partial 16S ribosomal RNA". It matches the Rfam family "Bacterial small subunit ribosomal RNA", at positions 36 to 507 of the family's 1533-position model. The record is from RNAcentral.